This 253-nucleotide ribosomal RNA is filed under the name uncultured bacterium. Its description in RNAcentral is "partial 16S ribosomal RNA". It matches the Rfam family "Bacterial small subunit ribosomal RNA", at positions 524 to 776 of the family's 1533-position model. The record is from RNAcentral.
UACAGAGGUCUCAAGCGUUGUUCGGAUUCAUUGGGCGUAAAGGGUGUGUAGGUGGCGCGCUAAGUCGGGUGUGAAAUUUCGGAGCUUAACUCCGAAACUGCAUUCGAUACUGGCGUGCUUGAGGACUGGAGAGGAGACUGGAAUUCAUGGUGUAGCAGUGAAAUGCGUAGAGAUCAUGAGGAAGACCAGUGGCGAAGGCGGGUCUCUGGACAGUACCUGACACUGAGACACGAAGGCCAGGGGAGCAAACGGG